AGAGUUUGAUCAUGGCUCAGGACGAACGCUGGCGGCGUGCCUAAUACAUGCAAGUAGAACGCUGACUACUUUAGCUUGCUAGAGUAGAAGGAGUUGCGAACGGGUGAGUAACGCGUAGGUAACCUGCCUACUAGCGGGGGAUAACUAUUGGAAACGAUAGCUAAUACCGCAUAACAGUGUUUAACACAUGUUAGAUGCUUGAAAGAUGCAAAUGCAUCACUAGUAGAUGGACCUGCGUUGUAUUAGCUAGUUGGUGGGGUAACGGCCUACCAAGGCGACGAUACAUAGCCGACCUGAGAGGGUGAUCGGCCACACUGGGACUGAGACACGGCCCAGACUCCUACGGGAGGCAGCAGUAGGGAAUCUUCGGCAAUGGGGGCAACCCUGACCGAGCAACGCCGCGUGAGUGAAGAAGGUUUUCGGAUCGUAAAGCUCUGUUGUAAGAGAAGAACGUGUGUGAGAGUGGAAAGUUCACACAGUGACGGUAACUUACCAGAAAGGGACGGCUAACUACGUGCCAGCAGCCGCGGUAAUACGUAGGUCCCGAGCGUUGUCCGGAUUUAUUGGGCGUAAAGCGAGCGCAGGCGGUUUAAUAAGUCUGAAGUUAAAGGCAGUGGCUUAACCAUUGUUCGCUUUGGAAACUGUUAAACUUGAGUGCAGAAGGGGAGAGUGGAAUUCCAUGUGUAGCGGUGAAAUGCGUAGAUAUAUGGAGGAACACCGGUGGCGAAAGCGGCUCUCUGGUCUGUAACUGACGCUGAGGCUCGAAAGCGUGGGGAGCAAACAGGAUUAGAUACCCUGGUAGCCCACGCCGUAAACGAUGAGUGCUAGGUGUUAGGCCCUUUCCGGGGCUUAGUGCCGCAGCUAACGCAUUAAGCACUCCGCCUGGGGA
This 889-nucleotide ribosomal RNA is filed under the name uncultured bacterium. Its description in RNAcentral is "bacterial SSU rRNA". It matches the Rfam family "Bacterial small subunit ribosomal RNA", at positions 8 to 879 of the family's 1533-position model. The record is from RNAcentral.